AGUCGAACGAAGCACUUUAUUUGAUUUCCUUCGGGACUGAUUAUGUUGUGACUGAGUGGCGGACGGGUGAGUAACGCGUGGGUAACCUGCCUUGUACAGGGGGAUAACAGUUGGAAACGGCUGCUAAUACCGCAUAAGCGCACAGCAUCGCAUGAUGCAGUGUGAAAAACUCCGGUGGUAUAAGAUGGACCCGCGUUGGAUUAGCUAGUUGGUGAGGUAACGGCCCACCAAGGCGACGAUCCAUAGCCGACCUGAGAGGGUGACCGGCCACAUUGGGACUGAGACACGGCCCAAACUCCUACGGGAGGCAGCAGUGGGGAAUAUUGCACAAUGGGCGAAAGCCUGAUGCAGCGACGCCGCGUGAGCGAAGAAGUAUUUCGGUAUGUAAAGCUCUAUCAGCAGGGAAGAUAAUGACGGUACCUGACUAAGAAGCACCGGCUAAAUACGUGCCAGCAGCCGCGGUAAUACGUAUGG
This 474-nucleotide ribosomal RNA is filed under the name uncultured Lachnospiraceae bacterium. Its description in RNAcentral is "bacterial SSU rRNA". It matches the Rfam family "Bacterial small subunit ribosomal RNA", at positions 60 to 532 of the family's 1533-position model. Lineage: Bacteria; Bacillati; Bacillota; Clostridia; Lachnospirales; Lachnospiraceae. The record is from RNAcentral.